CAGUCGCCGCGGUAAUACGGAGGGUGCAAGCGUUAAUCGGAAUUACUGGGCGUAAAGCGCACGCAGGCGGUCUGUCAAGUCAGAUGUGAAAUCCCCGGGCUUAGCCUGGGAACUGCAUUUGAAACUGGCAGGCUAGAGUCUUGUAGAGGGGGGUAGAAUUCCAGGUGUAGCGGUGAAAUGCGUAGAGAUCUGGAGGAAUACCGGUGGCGAAGGCGGCCCCCUGGACAAAGACUGACGCUCAGGUGCGAAAGCGUGGGGAGCAAACAGGAUUAGAUACCCGAGUAGUCCCUGUCUCUUAUAC
This 301-nucleotide ribosomal RNA is filed under the name uncultured bacterium. RNAcentral describes it as "partial 16S ribosomal RNA". It matches the Rfam family "Bacterial small subunit ribosomal RNA", at positions 509 to 807 of the family's 1533-position model. The record is from RNAcentral.